Molecule: ribosomal RNA, 730 nt
Filed under: Simocybe centunculus
Lineage: Eukaryota; Fungi; Basidiomycota; Agaricomycetes; Agaricales; Crepidotaceae
Description: eukaryotic LSU rRNA
Rfam family: Eukaryotic large subunit ribosomal RNA
Source: RNAcentral
AGUGAAGCGGGAAAAGCUCAAAUUUAAAAUCUGGCGGCUUCGCCGUCCGAGUUGUAAUCUAGAGAAGUGUUACCCGCGUUGGACCGUGUACAAGUCUCCUGGAAUGGAGCGUCGUAGAGGGUGAGAAUCCCGUCUUUGACACGGACUGCCAGGGCUUUGUGGUACGCUCUCAAAGAGUCGAGUUGUUUGGGAAUGCAGCUCAAAAUGGGUGGUAAAUGCCAUCUAAAGCUAAAUAUAGGCGAGAGACCGAUAGCGAACAAGUACCGUGAGGGAAAGAUGAAAAGAACUUUGGAAAGAGAGUUAAACAGUACGUGAAAUUGCUGAAAGGGAAACGCUUGAAGUCAGUCACGCUGCGAGAAAUCAACCUUGCUUUUGCUUGGUGUACUUUCUUGUUUGCGGGUCAGCAUCAGUUUUGAUCGUUGGAUAAAGAUUGUGGAAAUGUGGCACCUUCGGGUGUGUUAUAGUCUGCAGUUGCAUACAACGGUUGGGACUGAGGCACUCAGCGCGCCGCAAGGCCGGGUUUCGACCACGUUCGCGCUUAGGAUGCUGGCAUAAUGGCUUUAAUCGACCCGUCUUGAAACACGGACCAAGGAGUCUUACAUGCCUGCGAGUGUUUGGGUGGAAAACCCGAGCGCGUAAUGAAAGUGAAAGUUGAUAUCCCUGUCGCGGGGAGCAUCGACGCCCANACCAGAACUUCUGUGACGGACCUGCGGUANAGCUGUAUGUUGGG